This 387-nucleotide ribosomal RNA is filed under the name uncultured bacterium. RNAcentral's name for it is "bacterial SSU rRNA". It matches the Rfam family "Bacterial small subunit ribosomal RNA", at positions 975 to 1375 of the family's 1533-position model. The record is from RNAcentral.
CAGGGUUUGACAUGCUAUUGCACCGCUCUGAGAGGAGCGUCCGAGCAAUCGGCGGUAGCACAGGUGCUGCAUGGCUGUCGUCAGCUCGUGCCGUGAGGUGUUGGGUUAAGUCCCGCAACGAGCGCAACCCUCAUUGCUAGUUGAAUCUCUCUAGCGAGACUGCCACUCCAAAAGUGGAGGAAGGUGGGGAUGACGUCAAGUCAGCACGGCCCCUACGUCCUGGGCGACACACACGCUACAAUGGCUGGGACAACGGGACGCCAACCCGCGAGGGGGAGCCAAUCCCAACAAACCCAGUCUCAGUUCGGAUGGGAGGCUGCAACUCGCCUCCCUGAAGUGGGAGUUGCUAGUAACCGUGAGUCAGCACAUCACGGUGAAUACGUUCCC